GAAGUUAUAGUCAAUAAACUGAUACCUGACCUGCAAUCAGGAGGAGCCCCCAGGGGGCUGACUUUA
RNAcentral lists this transfer RNA (66 nucleotides) under Alpheus hoplocheles. RNAcentral's name for it is "tRNA-Ala". The record is from RNAcentral. RNAcentral also lists the same sequence under 1 other name. Lineage: Eukaryota; Metazoa; Arthropoda; Malacostraca; Decapoda; Alpheidae.